RNAcentral lists this ribosomal RNA (467 nucleotides) under uncultured bacterium. RNAcentral's name for it is "partial 16S ribosomal RNA". It matches the Rfam family "Bacterial small subunit ribosomal RNA", at positions 28 to 506 of the family's 1533-position model. The record is from RNAcentral.
GACGAACGCUGGCGGCGUGCUUAACACAUGCAAGUCGAACGGAAAGGCCCUGCUUUUGUGGGGUGCUCGAGUGGCGAACGGGUGAGUAACACGUGAGUAACCUGCCCUUGACUUUGGGAUAACUUCAGGAAACUGGGGCUAAUACCGGAUAGGAGCUCCUGCUGCAUGGUGGGGGUUGGAAAGUUUCGGCGGUUGGGGAUGGACUCGCGGCUUAUCAGCUUGUUGGUGGGGUAGUGGCUUACCAAGGCUUUGACGGGUAGCCGGCCUGAGAGGGUGACCGGCCACAUGGGGACGGAGAUACGGCCCAGACGCCUACGGGGGGAAGCGGGGGGGAAUAUGGCACAAGGGGUGGAGGCCGGAUGCGGCAACGCCGCGUGCGGGAUGACGGCCUUCGGGUGGUAAACCGCUUUCGCCUGUGACGAAGCGUGGGUGACGGUAAUGGGGAAAGAAGCACCGGCUAACUACGU